RNAcentral lists this ribosomal RNA (495 nucleotides) under uncultured bacterium. Its description in RNAcentral is "partial 16S ribosomal RNA". It matches the Rfam family "Bacterial small subunit ribosomal RNA", at positions 28 to 523 of the family's 1533-position model. The record is from RNAcentral.
GAUGAACGCUAGCGGGAGGCCUAACACAUGCAAGCCGAGCGGUAUUGUUUCUUCGGAAAUGAGAGAGCGGCGUACGGGUGCGUAACACGUGUGCAACCUGCCUUUAUCUGGGGGAUAGCCUUUCGAAAGGAAGAUUAAUACUCCAUAAUAUAUUGAACGGCAUCGUUUAAUAUUGAAAGCUCCGGCGGAUAGAGAUGGGCACGCGCAAGAUUAGCUAGUUGGUGAGGUAACGGCUCACCAAGGCGAUGAUCUUUAGGGGGCCGGAGAGGGUGAUCCCCCAAACGGGUACUGAGACACGGACCAGACUCCUACGGUAGGCAGCAGUGAGGAAUAUUGGGCAAUGGGUGCAAGCCUGAACCAGCCAGCCCGCGUGAAGGACGACUGCCCUAUGGGUUGUAAACUUCUUUUGUAUAGGGAUAAACCUACCCUCGUGAGGGUAGCUGAAGGUACUAUACGAAUAAGCACCGGCUAACUCCGUGCCAGCAGCCGCCGUAA